UGAAUCGUUCGGGGGUAAACCUGAAGAAACCCAAAAGAUCGAAUGGGGAGAUUCAUCGUCAGCCGCUUUGGCUUCCGUGUGAACGCGAUGAUCGGAGCUUCGGCUCUGCGUCACGCGUUUACUGCGGCAUGUCUGAGGCGGCCGGCGUGCACUUCUCCCCUAGUAGGACGUCGCGAUUCGUUGGGUGUCGGUUUACGGACCGGUAGGUCGCCUGGCGUAUCUCGUUCACGC
RNAcentral lists this ribosomal RNA (231 nucleotides) under Encarsia azimi. Its description in RNAcentral is "partial large subunit ribosomal RNA". The record is from RNAcentral. Lineage: Eukaryota; Metazoa; Arthropoda; Insecta; Hymenoptera; Aphelinidae.